AGGCUGGGAAGUCCAAGAUCAAGACACCGACAGAUGCAGUGUCUGGCGAGAUCCUACUUCCUUCCUCCUAGACGACUUUCUUCUUCAUGGGGUGAAGUGGCUUCAAGUUCUGAAUCUUCUCCAUGUCAGAAGCCGUGGUUAACUUAGGAGGAGAGCAAUAUAUUGUGAUUAAGCAAACCUAUUGAGGGCAUCUGAUGAUUUGGUGCAACUCCUGCAGCCCCUUGCUCAUGCCAUUCUCAUCUUGUCCAAAACCUUGGAGUAUAAUGUCACUGGUGAGCCAUUUACCAAUGCAUUUUGUCCCAGGGAUAAAAUUUGGUCUUUAUAGGUGUAUCUAAAAGACCUCUCUUUGCCUAACGUGUAUUUAAUUAAGCCUACAGACAUACCAGGUGGAAGCCCAAGGAACCUCAAGUGAAGACUGAAGAUGAGCUCUUAGAACCACUGGUUCCCUUGUCAAUGCGAGUUUUGUCCAGAGAUCUCUGGGAAUCCUCAGAUUAGCUAAAAUCUGAAUGUUGAUCCUACUGUUGUAUUGGAUCUUGCUCUGCUCUUGCAUCACGUUUCCCUUGAGAAUG
Leptonychotes weddellii (Weddell seal) is the source of this 569-nucleotide non-coding RNA. The record is from RefSeq and is a predicted model, not a curated record. Lineage: Eukaryota; Metazoa; Chordata; Mammalia; Carnivora; Phocidae.